Molecule: ribosomal RNA, 832 nt
Filed under: uncultured bacterium
Lineage: Bacteria
Description: bacterial SSU rRNA
Rfam family: Bacterial small subunit ribosomal RNA
Source: RNAcentral
AGAGUUUGAUCCUGGCUCAGAGUGAACGCUGGCGGCGUGCUUAACACAUGCAAGUCGAACGAGAACAGAAGAGAGCUUGCUCUCUUGCUGCUAAGUGGCGCACGGGUGAGUAAUAUAUAGGUAAUAUGCCUCUUACUAAGGGAUAAUUGUUGGAAACGACUUGUAAUACCUUAUAUGCCUUUUGAACAUAAGUUCGUAAAGGGAAAGAUUUAUCGGUAAGAGAUUAGCCUGUACGGUAUCAGAUAGUUGGUGGGGUAAUGGCCUACCAAGUCUAUGACACCUAACUGGUUUGAGAGGAUGAUCAGUCACACUGGAACUGAGACACGGUCCAGACUCCUACGGGAGGCAGCAGUGGGGAAUAUUGCACAAUGGACGAAAGUCUGAUGCAGCAACGCCGCGUGGAGGAUGACACAUUUCGGUGCGUAAACUCCUUUUAUAUGAGAAGAUAAUGACGGUAUCAUAUGAAUAAGCACCGGCUAACUCCGUGCCAGCAGCCGCGGUAAUACGGGGGGUGCAAGCGUUACUCGGAAUCACUGGGCGUAAAGAGCAUGUAGGCGGGUGGAUAAGUUGGAAGUGAAAUCCUAUAGCUUAACUAUAGAACUGCUUCCAAAACUGUUCACCUAGAGUAUGGGAGAGGUAGAUGGAAUUUCUGGUGUAGGGGUAAAAUCCGUAGAGAUCAGAAGGAAUACCGAUUGCGAAGGCGAUCUACUGGAACAUUACUGACGCUCAGAUGCGAAAGCGUGGGGAGCAAACAGGAUUAGAUACCCUGGUAGUCCACGCCCUAAACGAUGUACACUAGUUGUUGCUAUACUAGAUAUGGCAGUAAUGCAGU